GCCAAACAGCUAGCUCACCCACCAAAACCCAUAUUACAAGAUUUGUAAGUUUUGCCCAAUUUAACAACAAUAAUCAAACCAUUUUUCCGUCCCAGUAUAGGCGAUAGAAAAGACACUAUGAAGCGAUAGAACCAGUACCGCAAGGGAACGCUGAAAGAGAACUGAAAUAAACCAUUUAAGCCUAAAAAAGCAGAGACACAUCCUCGUACCUUUUGCAUCAUGAUUUAGCCAGAACCUGCGAGCAAAGAGAAACUUUAGUUCGCAACCCCGAAACCAAGUGAGCUACCCCGAGACAGCCUCCAUUAUAGGGCCAACCCGUCUCUGUGGCAAAAGAGUGGGAAGAUCUCCGGGUAGGGUGACAGACCUACCGAACUUGGUGAUAGCUGGUUACCUAAGAAAUGGAUAUUAGUUCAGCCUCGUAUCUCCCCAACCCACAUAAGCACCACUGCCCUAAGGAAAAGAGAAAACUACGAGAGUUAGUUAAAGGGGGUACAGCCCCUUUGAACCAGGACACAACCUGACCCAGGAGGUUAAGGGUCAUACCCAACAAGACACCUAGCUUCAGUGGGCUUAGAGGCAGCCACCUGCAUCAGAGAGCGUUAAAGCUCAAGCUAACCUAUUAGUCUUUUAUUCUGACAUAAAAACCCCAAACCCCUACUUUUAUUAGGUCAUUCCAUGCACCCAUGGAAGAGAUUCUGCUAAAAUGAGUAAUAAGAAGAUAAACCCUUCUCCGUGCCCACGCUUAAGUUAGAUCGGACCCCCCACUAACAAUUAACGAACCCAGACAAAGAGGGAAAAAUGGCUAUUUAACAAAAACAAGAAAACCUCAAACCACCUUAUCGUUAACCUUACACCGGAGGGCUCUCAGGAAAGAUUAAAAGAAAGGGAAGGAACUCGGCAAACACAAGCCCCGCCUGUUUACCAAAAACAUCGCCUCCUGCAAAAAUCAAUGUAUAGGAGGUCCUACCUGCCCGGUGACCAAGUUAAACGGCCGCGGUAUUUUGACCGUGCAAAGGUAGCGCAAUCACUUGUCUUUUAAAUAGAGACCUGUAUGAAUGGUGAAACGAGGGCUUAACUGUCUCCCCUCUCCAAUCAAUGAAAUUGAUCUACCCGUGCAGAAGCGGGUAUUAACAUACAAGACGAGAAGACCCUAUGGAGCUUAAGAUAUAAGUCACCUGUGUAAAAACCUCUAAUCAAAAGAACAAAACAAAACAACGACUGACUGACAUCUUCGGUUGGGGCGACCACGGGAGAAAAAAAAUCCCCCGCGUGGAAUGAGGUAUUCCCUUAAAACCACGAGGUACACCUCUAAGUCACAGAACUUCUGACCAAAAGAUCCGGCACUAAGCCGAUCAACGAACCAAGUUACCCUAGGGAUAACAGCGCAAUCCUCUUCAAGAGUUCCUAUCGACAAGGGGGUUUACGACCUCGAUGUUGGAUCAGGACAUCCUAAUGGUGCAGCCGCUAUUAAGGGUUCGUUUGUUCAACGAUUAAAGUCCUACGUGAUCUGAGUUCAGACCGGAGUAAUCCAGGUCAGUUUCUAUCUGUAAAGUCACCUCUCCUAGUACGAAAGGACCGGAGACAUAAGGCCCCCGCCACCGACACGCCUUACUUCCACUUAAUGACACCAACUCAAUUAAGUAAAGAAGGACGAAAGGUGCCCCGAGGUGCCUGGGGUU
This 1679-nucleotide ribosomal RNA is filed under the name Moenkhausia costae. RNAcentral describes it as "16S ribosomal RNA". The stretch from base 85 to 1582 matches the Rfam family "Bacterial large subunit ribosomal RNA". Lineage: Eukaryota; Metazoa; Chordata; Actinopteri; Characiformes; Acestrorhamphidae. The record is from RNAcentral.